Long non-coding RNA from Gorilla gorilla gorilla (western lowland gorilla), 1705 nucleotides. RefSeq lists it as uncharacterized. The record is from RefSeq and is a predicted model, not a curated record. The transcript is spliced from 5 exons. Lineage: Eukaryota; Metazoa; Chordata; Mammalia; Primates; Hominidae.
AUGCCAUUUUUAUCACAGAUGUAGACUGAUGCACAUUCAGCCACAAUCAAGAUACAGAACUGUGCCAUCACAACAAAGUUCUCCCUGAUGCUGUCCCUUUAAAGUCACACCCAGUGCUCCCCCAUGACCCCACCCGUAACUAACCCCUGGCAACCGUUACUCUGGUCUCCAGUUCUACAAUUUUGUAAUAGUGAGCAUUUUACAUAAAUGGAAUUAUACAAUAUGUGACCUAUUGAGAAUGGCUUUUUUUUCCCUUCAAUGUAGUGCCCUCGAGAUCCAUCCAAGUUGUGCCAGGAGCAGGGAGGAUCUCUGCCCUCCCUGGUGCAGGUGCAACCACCAGAUCCACAGGUGCAGACCUGGGCCUCUGCUCCACCAAGCCGGCAGGAGCCAAGGACAAGCAGGAACCCCACCCCUUCUGAGUUGGCAGGGCAGGAGCUCCCUGGGUGCAGCUGCAGCCACCUUCCCAGGUCCAAAAAAGCCCCAGGCUCAGCCAGAGCAGGGCAGAGGACAGAUGACGGAGGACAGAUGGCCUGCUGCAGCGAGGAACUACUCUCUCUUCUGAGAGCUUCAGAGACCUGCAGAGACAUAGGGACUACCAGCUGCAGAGAGAAGUAACUUUCUCGAGGGCCUCCUUUCUGGUUCUUCUGAGCUAUGAAGGGGCCCAGAUUUAAGAGCUGUUCUUGACACCCUAAAUGUGCUAAGACAAGUCAUUAAGGUGGUCCUGCCAGGACACAGCCAUCUAAAGCAGCAAUCUACUUCUUGCCAGAAAAUCUCGUGCCUCUGCAGAGCCUUUUCCAGAAUGAACCACACCAUGCUGAGGAAAGGAGAAAGAGACCACCUACUGCAUUUCUGUCACUCGCUGAAAAGGACACUCUGUCAGAGAAUCUUCUAGCAAACUUCAAAGGGCAAAAUCACCCCUUGUUACUGAUAAAGCCCAGAGAGCUUCAGCAGCUAACAUUCCCUGGACAGGGCACAGCAAGGAUUUGAACCUAGGUCAGUCUGGCCAGAACACACACAAGCUUUCCUUAACUCAGUGUGCUAUCUCCCCACGACUAGGUCACUACUGCUUUAUAAUCACCUUUGUAGCCACCAGUGGAUUUUGCUCAUCAGUAUUUUUCAGGCAAUUGAUACUUUAGAUAUUCAGCUGCAAGAUGUAUGCAGUUUUCAUUGACAUCUUUUGGAGAAACUGACAAACCUGGACUUGACUUAAUGCCUUUGGAACCUUCCAAGAUGUUAUAUAACUCUAGAUAGAAGGCUGGGCCUCCAUGAUAUCAGGAAUGUUGCAUUCUUAUUUCCCCAUAGAUAAACCCAUUUGUCCACAAAGUCAAGGAGUCAGGCAGAGGCCCUUGCCAUGGGGCUUUUUAGGAUAAAGCAACAAGCCUGGACUUUGCUCUACAACAGGGUUUUGCAUAGGGAGUGGUAUGACCAGAUCCCUCAAGAAAGAAAGCUUAGAGACCAGGCCAGAGUCCACUGCAGUAGCCCAGUCAAGAGAGGAUGGUGACUUGGACUUUUAGUAGAGCCAGUUAGAAUGAAAGAAAUUGACACAUUCAGAAAUGGUUUUAGAGAUAGAGUCAAACUGGACCUGAUAAAGAACUAGAGAAGCGGAGUGAGGAUAAAGAGAAGAGCCAUGACUGACUCGAAAGGUUUUGUCUUGAAAAACUUGAGAACUCAAGACAGAGUGAAAUAAAAUCACAUGUGGGAAAAA